RNAcentral lists this transfer RNA (86 nucleotides) under Klebsormidium nitens. RNAcentral describes it as "Selenocysteine transfer RNA". It matches the Rfam family "Selenocysteine transfer RNA". Lineage: Eukaryota; Viridiplantae; Streptophyta; Klebsormidiophyceae; Klebsormidiales; Klebsormidiaceae. The record is from Rfam by way of RNAcentral.
GCUCCCUUGAUUCCGAGUGGUCUCGGAUGCGGGCUUCAAACCCGUAGCGGCCUAGCGGCCGAGCUGUUCGAUUCAGCCUAGGGAGC